AAUAUUGCACAAUGGGGGAAACCCUGAUGCAGCGACGCCGCGUGAGUGAAGAAGUAUUNCGGUAUNUNAAGCCCUAUCAGCGGGGNAAAAAAUGACGGUACCUGAAUAAGAAGCCCCGGCUAACUACGAGCCAGCAGCCGCGGUAAUCCGUAGGGGGCAAGCGUUAUCCGGAUUUACUGGGUGUAAAGGGAGCGUAGGUGGUUUGGUAAGUGAGAUGUGAAAGCCCGGGGCUCAACCCCGGGACUGCAUUUGAAACUAUCAAACUAGAGUGCAGGAGAGGUAAGUGGAAUUCCUAGUGUAGCGGUGAAAUGCGUAGAUAUUAGGAGGAACACCAGUGGCGAAGGCGGCUUACUGGACUGUAACUGACACUGAGGCUCGAAAGCGUGGGGAGCAAAC
Molecule: ribosomal RNA, 396 nt
Filed under: uncultured bacterium
Lineage: Bacteria
Description: partial 16S ribosomal RNA
Rfam family: Bacterial small subunit ribosomal RNA
Source: RNAcentral